GCACUAAUGAGGAGUCCUACAAUAGGACGAAACGACCGUCUAGUUC
Schistosoma curassoni is the source of this 46-nucleotide non-coding RNA. The record is from Rfam. Lineage: Eukaryota; Metazoa; Platyhelminthes; Trematoda; Strigeidida; Schistosomatidae.